CAGAAACUACAAAGGAAUUAGACGGGGCCCGCACAAGCGGUGGAGUAUGUGGUUAAUUCGAUGCAACGCGAAGAACCUUACCUGGUCUUGACAUCCCGGAGACCCUUAGGAACUAGGGGGUGGCUUCCAUCUGGAAGAAUCUGGAGACAGGUGCUGCAUGGCUGUCGUCAGCUCGUGUCGUGAGAUGUUGGGUUAAGUCCCGCAACGAGCGCAACCCUUGCCUUUAGUUGCCAGCAGUUCGGCUGGGCACUCUAAAGGGACUGCCGGUGUUAAACCGGAGGAAGGUGGGGAUGACGUCAAGUCCUCAUGGCCUUUAUGACCAGGGCUACACACGUACUACAAUGGCCGAUACAAAGGGCAGCGACACUGCGAGGUGAAGCCAAUCCCGUAAAAUCGGUCUCAGUCCGGAUUGGAGUCUGCAACUCGACUCCAUGAAGUUGGAAUCGCUAGUAAUCGUGGAUCAGCAUGCCACGGUGAAUACGUUCCCGGGCCUU
Molecule: ribosomal RNA, 494 nt
Filed under: uncultured Desulfobulbus sp.
Lineage: Bacteria; Pseudomonadati; Thermodesulfobacteriota; Desulfobulbia; Desulfobulbales; Desulfobulbaceae
Description: bacterial SSU rRNA
Rfam family: Bacterial small subunit ribosomal RNA
Source: RNAcentral